GUAAAAUUUGGAAUUGUUCUUUCAUAUGGGAGUUAUAUUUUAUCCUUAAGAAUUUCUUUUGUGCAUGAGUUGUCAAUCUCUGGUUGGUCUUUUGUUUCAUUUACUUCUAUAAAGAAAAUAUAAAAAGAAAAGAAAACAAAAAAGCAAAGGAGCAUUUUUUUUUAUUAUUGUUUUAGGUUGACCUGGAGAUAACUGCCAUAUACUAAUUCUUUGAGUUCCUGAUCAGGACUAAUUUUCUAUGUUUAAUUCUGCAAUUUUUUGUUUUUUGACCGCAAUUGCAGCUGGGAAGUUCUUUGGAAUAACUCUUCGCGGAACACAUUCCCAUGCUUUUGUU
Molecule: unclassified non-coding RNA, 334 nt
Filed under: Hevea brasiliensis (rubber tree)
Lineage: Eukaryota; Viridiplantae; Streptophyta; Magnoliopsida; Malpighiales; Euphorbiaceae
Source: RNAcentral